This 73-nucleotide transfer RNA is filed under the name Pseudoeurycea tenchalli. Its description in RNAcentral is "tRNA-Ser". It matches the Rfam family "tRNA". Rfam says of the family: Transfer RNA (tRNA) molecules are approximately 80 nucleotides in length. Their secondary structure includes four short double-helical elements and three loops (D, anti-codon, and T loops). Further hydrogen bonds mediate the characteristic L-shaped molecular structure. tRNAs have two regions of fundamental functional importance: the anti-codon, which is responsible for specific mRNA codon recognition, and the 3' end, to which the tRNAs corresponding amino acid is attached (by aminoacyl-tRNA synthetases). tRNAs cope with the degeneracy of the genetic code in two manners: having more than one tRNA (with a specific anti-codon) for a particular amino acid; and 'wobble' base-pairing, i.e. permitting non-standard base-pairing at the 3rd anti-codon position. The record is from RNAcentral. Lineage: Eukaryota; Metazoa; Chordata; Amphibia; Caudata; Plethodontidae.
AAGGGGGUGGCAGAUUGGUCAUGCGGUUGACUUGAAAUCAAAAUAUGGGGGUUCAAUUCCCUCUUUCCUGGUA